Molecule: long non-coding RNA, 333 nt
Organism: Musca domestica (house fly)
Lineage: Eukaryota; Metazoa; Arthropoda; Insecta; Diptera; Muscidae
Exons: 2
Source: RefSeq, a predicted model, not a curated record
AUUUCUAGUGAUUGUGUUCAGAUUAUUUGUGUUCUUAAAAAAGAAAAAAAUGAAUAUUUCUGUAGCCCUAUUUUUUAUGGAUGAUGAGGAGGAGGUUCAAAUUGUCCCACGGAGGCAUUUAAGAGAUGCUUCGAAUUUAUUUGAAGUACCUAACAACCAGUUUGUGUCUUCCAGUGGUCUUCAUGGGAUUGCCUGCUGCUUCCAAAAAUUGGCACUCCUCUGGCGAACUUAGGAUUCUCCCCCAUAUACUCAACUAUUGCCCGCAGCUGUGUAGUUUUUUCGUGCUGGAAUUGAGAAAAUAAAAAAAUAUAUAUUUGUUGUUCACAGAUUAAA